GCAGUUCAUAUAGGGCUGAGGAUAGGUCAAGUAGAGACUGACUAGACUACUGCUGCUCAGAUAGGGCUAAGGAUAGGACUAGUAGAGACUGACUAGAGACCACUACUGCUCAGAUAGGGCUGAGAAUAGGUCAAGUAGAGACUACUGCUGCUCAGAUAGGGCUGAGGAUAGGUCAAGUAGAGACUACUGCUGCUCAGAUAGGGCUGAGGAUAGGUCAAGUAGAGACUACUGCUGCUCAGAUAGGGCUGAGGAUAGGUCAAGUAGAGACCACUGCUGCUUUGAUAGGGCUGAGGAUUGGUCAGGUAGAAAAUACUGCUCAGAUAGGGCUGAGGAUAGGUCAAGUGGAGACUAACUAGAGACUACUGAUGUUCAGAUAGGGCUGAGGAUAGGUCAAGUAGAGACUGACUAGACUACUGCUGCUCAGAUAGGGCUGAGGAUAGGUCAAGUAGUGACUACUGCUGCUCAGAUAGGGCUGAGGAUAUGUCAAGUAGAGACUGACUAGAGACUACUGCUGCUCAGGUAGAGCUGAGGAUAGGUCAAGUAGAGACUACUGCUGCUCAGAUAGGUCAAGUAGAGACUGACUGGAGACUACUACUGUUCAGAUAGGGUUGAGGAUAGGUCAAGUAGAGACUACUGCUGUUCAGAUAGGGCUGAGGAUAGGUCAAGUUGAGACUGACUAGAGACUACUGCUGCUCAGAUAGGGCUGAGGAUAGGACAAGUAGAGACUACUGCUGUUCAG
This 739-nucleotide long non-coding RNA is filed under the name Salmo salar (Atlantic salmon). RNAcentral describes it as "lncRNA (ENSSSAG00000088021.1)". The record is from RNAcentral. Lineage: Eukaryota; Metazoa; Chordata; Actinopteri; Salmoniformes; Salmonidae.